UACGAAGGGGGCUAGCGUUGCUCGGAUUGACUGGGCGUAAAGGGCGCGUAGGCGGUUCGUACAGUCAGACGUGAAAUUCCUGGGCUCAACCUGGGGGCUGCGUUUGAUACGUGCGGACUUGAGUGCGGAAGAGGGUCGUGGAAUUCCUGGUGUAGCGGUGAAAUGCGUAGAUAUCAGGAGGAAUACCGGUGGUGUAGACGGCUCUCUGGACCGCCACUGACGCUGAGACACGAAAGCGUGGGUAGCAAACAGG
This 253-nucleotide ribosomal RNA is filed under the name uncultured bacterium. RNAcentral describes it as "partial 16S ribosomal RNA". It matches the Rfam family "Bacterial small subunit ribosomal RNA", at positions 524 to 776 of the family's 1533-position model. The record is from RNAcentral.